GCCUCCUACCAGGGGACUACCCGUAGAAAUUUCGGACUUAAUACCCCAUAAUACAGGGAUGGCCGCAUGGCAAUAUUUGUUCAAAGAUUAAUCGGUAGAAGAUGGGCAUGCGUCCCAUUAGCUAGUUGGUGAGGUAACAGCUCACCAAGGGCCAUGAUGGAUAGGGGAACUGAGAGGUUUAUCCCCCACACUGGAACUGAGACACGGACCAGACUCCUACGGGAGGCAGCAGUGAGGAAUAUUGGUCAAUGGGCGAGAGCCUGAACCAGCCAAGUCGCGUGAAGGAAGACUGCCUUAUGGGUUGUAAACUUCUUUUGCAGGAGAGUAAAAAGCGGGACGCGUCCCGUCUUGCAAGUACCCUGCGAAUAAGCAUCGGCUAACUCCGUGCCAGCAGCCGCGGUAAUACGGAGGAUGCGAGCGUUAUCCGGAUUUAUUGGGUUUAAAGGGUGCGUAGGCGGAUCCUUAAGUCAGUGGUGAAAUCUGUCGGCUCAACCGACAAACUGCCAUUGAAACUGAAGAUCUUGAGUAUAGAUGAAGUAGGCGGAACUCGUUGUGUAGCGGUGAAAUGCAUAGAUAUAACGAAGAACCCCGAUCGCGUAGGCAGCUUACUAAACUAUAACUGACGCUGAGGCACGAAAGCGUGGGUAUCAAACAGGAUUAGAUACCCUGGUAGUCCACGCCGUAAACUAUGAUUACUAGUUGUAUGCGAUACACCGUAUGUGACUUGCGAAAGCGAUAAGUAAUCCACCUGGGGA
RNAcentral lists this ribosomal RNA (755 nucleotides) under uncultured bacterium. RNAcentral's name for it is "bacterial SSU rRNA". It matches the Rfam family "Bacterial small subunit ribosomal RNA", at positions 128 to 879 of the family's 1533-position model. The record is from RNAcentral.